CCCAAGGGAGAAGUUCCCGCCUGUGGGCCAGAGCUGGCCCAAAAGGGCCGAGAUGGUGAUCAGCCAUGUUUGGAGUGCAGUUGGCGUUUUCUCCUCAGCAAAGGGUGGAGGGAAUGGACCUGGGGGAAGAGCAGAUGGGCAUUUCUGGAGCAAUACUGCCAUCAAGAGGAACUUGUUUCCUGGGCAUUUCUCUUGCUGCCUGUCAGCCUACUGACAUGACCUCUCACACGUUCAGUUGCAUCUCUUACAGUUCAGGAGAAAUACAUUGAUAUGAUGUCCUGGAGAAAGACAGAUACACAAACAUAGAGAGAGAGGGUUAGAGGGGGAGAUGGCAAGAGAGAGAGAAAAAAAAGAGUUUGGUUCAAAGUGUUGGGAAUGAGUCCGGGAGGCAGCAGCUUGGGUGUUGUCUGCUUUUUCUAUUUUCUCUGUCUUAUCUUCACAACAGUGUUCGUGGUCAGUGUGUUUCGGCAGCACACGUUGAAGGUAUUCCCAUAUCUACUCUGCCCCAACACAGUCAUAAUAAGGUUUUUGUCAGAGAAUAUAUGUGGGGAGGAAGAUCAGAAAAAGUGGGUCUUGCCCAUCUACUGCUCCCCUGUGACACACAGGAGUCCUCAACAGCACUCACACCUGUCUGUUUUUUCCCACCUCAAACAUUCUGGGGUGAGCUGGCCAGAGACUGAUAUAGCCCAGGUGUGUUUGGGGUGGCACCUGGCACUCCUCCUGUCUCAUCUAUCUUUGCCUGUACCCCAUGGGGCUGCCCCAGGAGACAAGCCGGGGGCUCAAUCCUGCUGUUCUAAAAUUGUACGUUCACCUUACUCUUUAGUCCAC
RNAcentral lists this long non-coding RNA (828 nucleotides) under Homo sapiens (human). Its description in RNAcentral is "HSALNT0285577". Lineage: Eukaryota; Metazoa; Chordata; Mammalia; Primates; Hominidae. The record is from RNAcentral.